UGGUAAUGCAGGCUUUUUGAUCCAUCUAAAUUAUCAAGGUUAAAGGUUUUUAAGCAGCUUUGAUUUGCGUUUUUGAGCUGAAAACAUGGCGCAGAGCAACUGGGAAGCAGAUAAAAUGCUUGAUGUGUACAUAUACGAUUAUUUGGUGAAGAAGAAACUGCAUGCCACUGCAAAGUCCUUUAUGAAUGAAGGGAAAGUAGCCCCAGAUCCAGUAGCAAUUGAUGCUCCUGGAGGGUUUCUUUUUGAAUGGUGGUCUGUCUUCUGGGACAUUUUUAUUGCAAGGACAAAUGAGAAACAUUCAGAGGCUGCUGCAGCAUAUAUAGAGGCACAACAAGUUAAAGCAAAGGAGCAGCAACAACAACAGUUGCAAAUGCAGCAGUUGCAACUGAUGCGUCAAGCUCAAUUCCAACGGGGAGGUCCUAAUAAUCCAUCUCUUGGCGGUCCAGUAAAUGCUAUUGGUUCUGAAGGAAUGCUUGGUCAAUCCACUGCUAGUGCAAUGGCGGCAAAAAUUUAUGAGGAACGUAUGAAACACUCUAAUCCAAUGGAUUCAGAAACAUCUCAGCCACUCCUUGAUGCUAGGAUGCCUCUACUAAAACAAGCAACGAAUCAUCCUGGCCAGUUGGUCCAAGGGAAUUCUGGGAGCAUUACAGCAGCAUUGCAGCAAAUCCAGG
This 671-nucleotide unclassified non-coding RNA is filed under the name Hevea brasiliensis (rubber tree). The record is from RNAcentral. Lineage: Eukaryota; Viridiplantae; Streptophyta; Magnoliopsida; Malpighiales; Euphorbiaceae.